AAGGCUGGUGGGCCCCUGUCGCGCAGUGCUAUAUGUAGAGGAGGUGGGGACCAUGGCACGGGUUACGAGGUUCGCCGCCGCCACUGGUUCCCCACUCUCUAACCCUAAUCCGAUCUAGAGGGAUGCACUGAAGCGACGGGAAGUCCAUCACCGCCACUACCAGAUCUCUCCUUCCCCACCGUCGUCACCACCUCACGACGGUAGCCGGAGGGAGCUCAUCGAUUACGGGAUAAGGUAACAAAUCUCCACAUCACACCAAACACAUCUAGCCUUGUCGAUCCACAGGACUAUCAAUGGUAUCAUGAGCCACAAGGCUUUAGAUG
Molecule: long non-coding RNA, 323 nt
Filed under: Hordeum vulgare
Lineage: Eukaryota; Viridiplantae; Streptophyta; Magnoliopsida; Poales; Poaceae
Description: long non-coding RNA (HVUL_LNC008964)
Source: RNAcentral